Molecule: long non-coding RNA, 2951 nt
Filed under: Gallus gallus (chicken)
Lineage: Eukaryota; Metazoa; Chordata; Aves; Galliformes; Phasianidae
Description: lncRNA (ENSGALG00010023509.1)
Source: RNAcentral
UAUUAUAAGGCAGAGCGGUGUACUUCCUAUUUAUACUCCCAGUUUAUAAAACUAAUGCAAGUAACAAGCUUUCAUGUGAAUGAGAGAAUGCUAGCAUCCAUGGCGCUCACUUAAAGGUAGAUAGACUGCAUCAGUUUGUUCUUCUUCUUUCAUUUUGCUGUCCUGGCUGUCAUCACUUCGAAGCUCUAUGGCACUAGGAGAUGCAGUCUGUUGGCUAGCUUUGCUUUCUCUUUCUGUGACUGGGGAUUUGCAGUGCGGCCUUUUUUACUACUGGGCCAGCCAGACUGGUGUAGGAUGGCUUAUUUCUUCAGUAUACUCCAGGGCUGAAUAAUUUGCAGUCGUCUCUAUUCCCUUGCCUGAUCACUACUGCUCAGUGAUUUGCAGUGUGGCAGUAUGCAGAGCACUUCCAUAGCUUUCCAACUGCUUCUGUCCCUAAUGGAAAUCUGUCUCAUUGAGUGUUACAGGUGUCCUUGCUAACCUUUCUUUCCAUGGACUUGUACUGAAACUUUAAAAGUGGUAUCUUCUAGUCCUGUCUCAUCAUUGUGCUAUGCUGUACUGAUUGGUGUGCUGGGUCCCAUAGGCAGAGAGGUUUUUACAACGACAAAUUGAAACAUAUAGAAGCUUCCUGUUGGUUUUCUUGAGUAAAAAGGUGUGCUGGAGAUGCUAUGAAUGGAGUGUCUGGUGGCAGUUGUGCUGGGCUAUGAUGGAGUUAGUGUGAGUCAAGCUUGCUUUUGGGAUGGUUAGUUCCUCUUUCAGACUGUGAACGUAUGUCCUAGUAACUUUGUGCUGUACUGGGACCUCAAGACACUCAGGUAAAAUAGCAGCCCCUUCAACCCAGGUAUCUUUUGGUACUGAAGAUUAUGGUUUGAAGGUUCUUUAUUCUACUUCCUUGUGCAGUUUUAUUAUCCAUUUCAUUAUUUCAAUUAUGAGGUAGUGGCAAAAACUGUCAGAGAGAGCCAGUGGUCAGAGAGAAGUUCACAUCAAAUUGUAGGACAACAACCAGUGAAAGUGGCAUAGUGAUACAAAACAACUCUCCUUGGAAAGAAGACGUUUGAAGCAAAUAGGAUUUUUAAGCUGAUCAGAGUAGGUUUUGCUUCCUGGAGUGGAUUUUGCUUGGGCAUCAUGGCUGCAUGCAGGAAACCAGAGGUAAAUUCUGCCUGGAAUGAUGGUAAAAGAGGCAUCAUGCAAGUGGAUGAGCUGACGGAGGUUGGUUGUGUAGUUUAAAGUAGAAUAGUAUAUGUAGGACAUUCAGGAAAACAGAGUAGAGGUAGAGAUAGUCUUGGUCCAAAGAACAUUUUUUGGCCAGUAGCCAUUUAAGAUGAAGUACAGAAAAGCUUCAGGAAAGUAGAUUUAGGACUGAGGUGGUGAUCUGUAAUUGCUGAACGAAUCAGAAAGUGUUUUUAAAAAUGUCGUAUCAGGCCUCUUGUUUCUUUGCUUGCUGUCCUCUAAGCAAAUGUUUAUUAAAAGACAAAAGUGUCAGCUGUUUGCCCAAGGUUUGGAAGAACUGUGAAGUUCAGUUGAAAAGAUGCUUGUGCCACAAGUGUGUUGAUGCUUACUAUUUGCUAUGAAUGCAACUGUCUCUUUCCUGCUAAGUUCCUAUUACUAGCGGUGGGAAAUAUUCCUAAAAAUUCUAGUUUACAGUGCAAAGCACAAAUGGGAUACAUUUUGUUGCACCUUGUGAAUGUGGUUUGCUACAGGCUCUCGGCUAGGCCAGGCAGAGAAAAACAAAAUUUUAAUUGUUUAGAAAGCGAAAAGGUCUCUGGGAGGAGGUAGUAAGCUUGAGCCUAUCCCUCCUACUGGUUUGUGAUCCCUCUUACAGGUUUGUGUGGUGCUAGAACAGAUACAACCAGACACCUGUACCUAAAAUGACUUGUUUGUUUUGUCAUAGUCUAAUUAGUAUUAAGAAUUUAGACUUACCAUGCUUUUUGUCCUCUCGUACCCAGCAUUUCUGGUCAAAAUGAGAACUGUGUAUUUUUCCUCAUCUUGCUUAUGAACAGCAUUGCUGUAGGACCCUUGCUUUGCUCGUAGGCCUCUGGGGUGGUGCAGGGGGAGGGCAGCAGUCUCUGUCCUUCCUGGGCAGCGGCUGCAGCUUCCCUCAGAGUGCCCAGGCCGUGUGUUUACGUGGGUCCUUUGUUUCUCCUGCCUCCUCUCUCAGGUGUCUUCUCCUUUCUCUUGGCUCUCCCAGGUGACGGUUGGGGCAGGCCUUAGAGCUCCUUCACCAAAUCCCCCAUUUUGCAGAAUCCAUCGCGCCCUUGUAGAGAAAUGCCCUCAUUCUCUCGAGCAGAAACGUACAAACUUUUAAUUUUUUUAAAGAAAGAAUAUGUAUAUAAUUAUAUAUAAGAAAAAAAUACAGUUAUUUAAACACUAUUGGUAAAUUCAUGCAUGUAUAUGGUGUUCCCCUUCCUCCCUGCCACCUUUUCCCUUGGAUGUGUAGCAUCCAGAACACUAAAUGACAGAAACCUCAUUAAAAUAAGUGACAGGUCUGGUGCUGCCCGUGGGUGAGCAGGUGCUGCUUUCUGUGGCUGAGCUGUUCCAUACAGCGUAGGUCGUGGGCUGUGUGCUCAGAUGGGGCCCUGCUGUAAGGAUGGACAGGCACCGGGCAGCAACUCUAGGAAUAAGCCAUGUCCUCCCUGCAUGUCGUGUGGGUGCCCUACAGCUCUCUGUGGGCAUCAAUACUGCCCUUCUCCUUCACCUGUUUAAAAUAGGGGAAAAAAAAAACAAAUUCUAUUCUCUUGAUUUAUUUAUAAAUGUUUUUAUACUUCUCCCUCUAGGUGAAAUAACCCAUUUGAAUGUCCUUUUUCUGAAUUUGUAAAAAAUAAAAACCAUUUGCUUUUUUUUUUUUUUUUUUUUUUUGCACUGUGAAGCGCCCUGUGCGGGAGCUGUUUUUAACUCUGUAUUCAUUUGUACUCCGUGUCUUAGAACUGUUUCAAUAAAAACGUGGUCAUUUGCUA